ACGAGUUUGAUCAUGGCUCAGAUUGAACGCUGGCGGCAUGCCUUACACAUGCAAGUCGAACGGUAACAGGGAGCUUGCUCCGCUGACGAGUGGCGAACGGGUGAGUAACAUAUCGGAACGUACCAUUCAGUGGGGGAUAACGUAGCGAAAGUUACGCUAAUACCGCAUAUUCUGUGAGCAGGAAAGCAGGGGAUCGCAAGACCUUGCGCUGAUUGAGCGGCCGAUAUCAGAUUAGCUAGUUGGUGAGGUAAAAAGCUCACCAAGGCGACGAUCUGUAGCGGGUCUGAGAGGAUGAUCAGCCACAUUGGGACUGAGACACGGCCCAAACUCCUACGGGAGGCAGCAGUGGGGAAUAUUGGACAAUGGGCGAAAGCCUGAUCCAGCCAUGCCGCGUGAAUGAUGAAGGCCUUAGGGUUGUAAAAUUCUUCAACGGGGACGAUAAUGACGGUACCCGUAGAAGAAGCCCCGGCUAACUUCGUG
This 480-nucleotide ribosomal RNA is filed under the name uncultured bacterium. RNAcentral describes it as "bacterial SSU rRNA". It matches the Rfam family "Bacterial small subunit ribosomal RNA", at positions 1 to 507 of the family's 1533-position model. The record is from RNAcentral.